GGGCCGGUAGCUCAGCCUGGUUAUCUUUCGAAACAGAAAGAGCACUGGUCUUAUAAACCAGCGGUCGCGUGUUCGAAUCGCGCCCGGCCCA
RNAcentral lists this transfer RNA (91 nucleotides) under Candidatus Aenigmatarchaeota archaeon. RNAcentral describes it as "tRNA-Ile". It matches the Rfam family "tRNA". Rfam says of the family: Transfer RNA (tRNA) molecules are approximately 80 nucleotides in length. Their secondary structure includes four short double-helical elements and three loops (D, anti-codon, and T loops). Lineage: Archaea; Nanobdellati; Candidatus Aenigmatarchaeota. The record is from RNAcentral.